GACGAACGCUGGCGGCGUGCUUAACACAUGCAAGUCGAACGGAAAGGCCCUGCUUUUGUGGGGUGCUCGAGUGGCGAACGGGUGAGUAACACGUGAGUAACCUGCCCUUGACUUUGGGAUAACUUCAGGAAACUGGGGCUAAUACCGGAUAGGAGCUCCUGCUGCAUGGUGGGGGUUGGAAAGUUUCGGCGGUUGGGGAUGGACUCGCGGCUUAUCAGCUUGUUGGUGGGGUAGUGGCUUACCAAGGCUUUGACGGGUAGCCGGCCUGAGAGGGUGACCGGCCACAUUGGGACGGAGAUACGGCCCAGACUCCUACGGGAGGCAGCAGUGGGGAAUAUUGCACAAUGGGCGGAAGCCGGAUGCAGCAACGCCGCGUGCGGGAUGACGGCCUUCGGGUGGUAAACCGCUUUCGCCUGUGACGAAGCGUGAGUGACGGUAAUGGGGAAAGAAGCACCAGCUAACUACGU
This 467-nucleotide ribosomal RNA is filed under the name uncultured bacterium. RNAcentral describes it as "partial 16S ribosomal RNA". It matches the Rfam family "Bacterial small subunit ribosomal RNA", at positions 28 to 506 of the family's 1533-position model. The record is from RNAcentral.